Molecule: non-coding RNA, 72 nt
Organism: Leptidea sinapis
Lineage: Eukaryota; Metazoa; Arthropoda; Insecta; Lepidoptera; Pieridae
Source: the annotation of a RefSeq genome assembly
GAACAGUUGGCUCAGUGGAAGAACGCUCGCUUUGAACGCGAGAGGUCGCGGGUUUGAGCCUCGCAUCGUUCA